This 774-nucleotide ribosomal RNA is filed under the name uncultured Neocallimastigales. RNAcentral's name for it is "partial large subunit ribosomal RNA". It matches the Rfam family "Eukaryotic large subunit ribosomal RNA", at positions 20 to 616 of the family's 3401-position model. Lineage: Eukaryota; Fungi; Neocallimastigomycota; Neocallimastigomycetes; Neocallimastigales. The record is from RNAcentral.
UACUAGAGUAGCACUCGCAUAUCAAUAAGCGGAGGAAAAGAAACUAACAAGGGUUCCCCUAGUAACGGCGAGUGAAGCGGGAAGAGCUCAAAUUUGAAAUCUUAAAGGGUUUCCCUUUACGAAUUGUAGUUUAAAGAAGUGUUUUCUGUUGAGGUUUUGGUAAAAGUUCUUUGGAAUAGGACAUCAUAGAGGGUGAGAAUCCCGUAUUUGACCUUUACUUUCAACUUUGUGAUACACUUUCAAAGAGUCGGAUUGUUUGGGAAUGCAGUCCAAAAUGGGUGGUAAAUUUCAUCUAAAGCUAAAUAUUGGCGAGAGACCGAUAGCGAACAAGUACCGUGAGGGAAAGAUGAAAAGAACUUUGAAAAGAGAGUUAAACAGUACGUGAAAUUGUCAAAAGGGAAGCGUUUGACACCAGUGUUGUUUUUCUGAAAAUCAAUUAAAGAACUGUUUAUGCUAAGCUGUUUAGACUUUAUCAGCUAUCUGUUUAGUUUUGAGCUUUUCUUUAAUGCACUUUUCAGUUAACAAGUCAACAUCAAUUUCUUUUGCUGUAAAAAAGCUUGAGGAAGGUGGCUUGAGAUUCAUCUUAAGUGUUUAUAGCCUCUUGCCUAUGCAGUCGGAGAGAUUGAGGUCUGCAGCGUAGAUCCUUCGGGGCUAAAUGCAUUUGUGCUAAGUUAUAGCAUUUUAUAGAUAACUUGUUGACUAUGAUUUGUCUUGUAGCUUACUCGCUUAUGUUAUUUUACCUACGCUUAGGAUGUUGAGCGCAUGUCUCUCUCU